This is a long non-coding RNA of Dermochelys coriacea (leatherback sea turtle), 1655 nucleotides long. RefSeq lists it as uncharacterized. The transcript is spliced from 4 exons. The record is from RefSeq and is a predicted model, not a curated record. NCBI's taxonomy places the organism in Eukaryota, Metazoa, Chordata, Testudines, Dermochelyidae.
AUAGUCCUAAGUAUGCUGUUAUUACAACAAGCUCUGGGUAGUUCUCCUGAGGAUAGGCUUUCUGUAGGAAUAUUUUUGGAAAGGAAUUUGCAGAUAGGAAAUUCAUUUGAAGUCAUGGGUGGAACUGCUGACACCUGUUGCUAGUAGGCCAGCAGGCUGACAUAGCAUUUCCAUGAGCUGGAUAAGCUUACUGGUGAAGUGAUGACAACUGCCAAGGAGGUGAGGUGCUGGGAGUAUGAAAGGAGGAUUUCGAGAGUGCGGAAUCCUCCAAAUGCAAGCAGUCUAGUCAUACAAGAUGAACAGGACAGAUUGCAAGGCAGAAUGGAUAUCAGCACUGAACCAUCAUCAGAAGAGGAAAUAGAAAGAGCAAUGAAGCUGUUUAAAGUGGGAAAGCUGCAGGAACAGACAAUAUAAUGGCUGAGCUGCCAAAAGCUGGCGAGACAAGUGCUAUCAAAGCAUUAAGAAAAAUUAAACAAGAAAGUUGGGAGCAAGAUGACUGGCUGAAGGUGGUAGUUGUGCCAAUCCUGAAGAAAGGAGAUCCUGCUAACUGAAUAACUAGUGGGAUAAGCUUCUUAUCUGUAUAAGGAACAAUCAUGAUGAAAGUAAUUGUCAACAGAUUAAGACCAGUUUUAGAAGAAGUAGAUGAGGAACCGUGUGUGCAGCUUCAGACCAGGCUUAAGUUGCAUCGACCUGAUAUUCAUGCACUGACAUCUGAUGGUGGGGGGUGGGGUGGGGAGGACUAAAGAAGUUGCUGUUUUCAUUUACUUUGAUUUGGUUUGGAGAGAAGCUUUAUGCAAAUUAGUAAAAGUAGAUAGUGUUUCAGAGAGGAUAACUGGAACUAUAAAAGUUGUGUUUGAAGACUCCUGUAAUGCCAAAAGAAUUGGUAGAACAUUAAGCAACUGGUUCCAAUCAAAAUUUGGUAUAAGACAAGGGGGCAUGGAAUCACCAAUGGUUUUCAUUAUAUUCCUAAACCAGACAUUAAAAAGUUAGAUAAGCUAGAUGAUCUAGAAUUUAAAAUCCUUCAUUUAUACAGACAUGGUACAAAUGGCAGAGGUUUGAAUUAAUGAUGCUCUUUGCUACCUUGGAAAAUUUGUCUAGUUCACUUGAAUUCUCAGUAACUGUCUAGAAGACAAAGCUUGCGUCUUGGAAAAGUGACAACAAAGUGUUGAAAUGCAGCACUGGUGAAGAAUGAUCAGAAGUAGAAUCUUGUGUACCUAUGAAAUUUGAUCUGUGCUGAUAGUUCCAUCAAGGAUGUGAUUAAAAGGAGCUGUGCUUUAGCUACAAAUACUGCAUAGAAAUUGAUAAAAUUAUGGACUGAUAAAAAUAUUACAUUUGAUACCAAAGUGGAAAAAAUACCAAACCAGUGUACUAACAGUAUUAUUCUGGUCUGGAAGCAGCGACGUUAAAUGAAAAAGGCAUCACAAAAGAUGGAGAUAGUGGACUUGUUCUUAAUUUGUCUUAAAAUGAUUCCAUGUCACACCUUCCAUUUUCUGAAAUUAAGAGAAUUGGAUGUGAAAUCAAGGUUCAGGAUUUGCUGCUAUCGAAAAGAUUCAGAUGGUGAGGACACUGCAAAAUACAAACAGAUAAUAUAGUGCUAAAGAAAAUAAUGAAAACAUAAUCAAGGUCAGUCUGACCUAGAGGGUGACCAUUGGUUG